This 670-nucleotide unclassified non-coding RNA is filed under the name Hevea brasiliensis (rubber tree). The record is from RNAcentral. Lineage: Eukaryota; Viridiplantae; Streptophyta; Magnoliopsida; Malpighiales; Euphorbiaceae.
AAAAAAGAAAAAAGAAAAAAAAAACACACACACACAUAAUGUUGAUGCUCCAUGAUCAACAUAUAUGAGCUCAUUAUGUAAACACAUAUAGCCUACUCCACAUGGUUAGAAGAAAUGCAAUCCACAGGUGAAGGUUAGAACUAAAGUGGUUCCAACUGAUGGUUACGAAAGGAAAAUUUGUUCCACAAUUUGAAACUGAGAUUAACAAGAGAAACUUGAGUAUAUGGAUUUUGCAUAGACUAGACUUGACUUUGGUUUGGAAUUUAAAUACAGCUAGGACCUAAAAAAGAAAACAAAUAAAGCCACCACCCAAAUAACUGUACAGGUUUGAAAUUAAAGCCCAGUUUUAGAGCAGACCAGCUAUUUCAAAUCCACAUAGUCACUGUAGGAAGAUUAGGGCUAUAGGAAUAAAUAAUUAGAAGAUCUAACUUGAAUAAAUUGAAGAAGAGAAAAUGUGUUAAUUAGAAUGAAUAAUUACAAAAGAGAGCUAAGCCUAUUUAUAUACAAACAAAUCAUGCCAAAAAGGAAGAAUAGUUGGUGACCUUAUUCUAAGGAUCAAUAGGCCAAAACUAAGGUAAUUAAUAUUAACAGUCUUCAACUAAAAAUUAAAACACAGUUCCUUUCAGUUUGUGGAAAUCUUAAAACUCUCAUGUCAGAAACUGGAAAAGGA